RNAcentral lists this ribosomal RNA (449 nucleotides) under uncultured bacterium. RNAcentral's name for it is "bacterial SSU rRNA". It matches the Rfam family "Bacterial small subunit ribosomal RNA", at positions 335 to 799 of the family's 1533-position model. The record is from RNAcentral.
ACUCCUACGGGAGGCAGCAGUGGGGAAUCUUGGACAAUGGGCGCAAGCCUGAUCCAGCCAUGCCGCGUGAGUGAUGAAGGCCUUAGGUCGUAAAGCUCUUUCGCCAGGGAUGAUAAUGACAGUACCUGGUAAAGAAACCCCGGCUAACUCCGUGCCAGCAGCCGCGGUAAUACGGAGGGGGUUAGCGUUGUUCGGAAUUACUGGGGCGUAAAGCGCGCGUAGGCGGACCAGAAAGUUGGGGGUGAAAUCCCGGGGCUCAACCCCGGAACUGCCUCCAAAACUCCUGGUCUAGAGUUCGAGAGAGGUGAGUGGAAUUCCGAGUGUAGAGGUGAAAUUCGUAGAUAUUCGGGAGGAACACCAGUGGCGAAGGCGGCUCACUGGCUCGAUACUGACGCUGAGGUGCGAAAGUGUGGGGAGCAAACAGGAUUAGAUACCCUGGUAGCGACUGA